RNAcentral lists this ribosomal RNA (484 nucleotides) under uncultured bacterium. RNAcentral's name for it is "partial 16S ribosomal RNA". It matches the Rfam family "Bacterial small subunit ribosomal RNA", at positions 30 to 507 of the family's 1533-position model. The record is from RNAcentral.
AUUGAACGCUAGCGGGAUGCUUUACACAUGCAAGUCGAACGGCAGCGCGGACUUCGGUCUGGCGGCGAGUGGCGAACGGGUGAGUAAUGUAUCGGAACGUGCCCAGUAGCGGGGGAUAACUACGCGAAAGCGUAGCUAAUACCGCAUACGCCCUACGGGGGAAAGCAGGGGAUCGUAAGACCUUGCACUAUUGGAGCGGCCGAUAUCGGAUUAGCUAGUUGGUGAGGUAACGGCUCACCAAGGCGACGAUCCGUAGCUGGUUUGAGAGGACGACCAGCCACACUGGGACUGAGACACGGCCCAGACUCCUACGGGAGGCAGCAGUGGGGAAUUUUGGACAAUGGGGGCAACCCUGAUCCAGCCAUCCCGCGUGUGCGAUGAAGGCCUUCGGGUUGUAAAGCACUUUUGGCAGGAAAGAAACGUCGCGGGCUAAUACCCCGUGGAACUGACGGUACCUGCAGAAUAAGCUCCGGCUAACUACGUG